GGGGGCGUACUGGUUUCGACGGAGUUGUUGAGACUGGGGAAGCGGGUAGAGGAUCCUCGUUGGCCUCUUAAAAAAACGGGGAACUUUUAUAAUUGCCAAUAAACCGGCACUCGCAGCAGCUUAAACCUGUUGCCGUCAGCCCAUCCGAUCUGCUGGAUGGAUCCCUGGCGUCAGACAGCAGACCUUACACGUUAGCAGGUUAAACGUGGAAACGGAUCAGGUGAUGCCUGUAACCUGAUUCGUAUAACAGGCUACCGGACCGUCAGUAUGCGUUCGUUCAUGCGGCGAGAGGGGAAUACUCAAACAACGAACUGCACCCGGAGAUGCUCCAGAGGAUAGGAUUUCGGACAGGGGUUCGACUCCCCUCGCCUCCACCA
This 377-nucleotide transfer-messenger RNA is filed under the name Clostridia bacterium. It matches the Rfam family "transfer-messenger RNA". From Rfam's summary of the family: Bacterial tmRNA, also known as 10Sa RNA or SsrA, is named for its dual tRNA and mRNA-like properties. Its role is to liberate the mRNA from a stalled ribosome. The record is from RNAcentral. RNAcentral also lists the same sequence under 1 other name. Lineage: Bacteria; Bacillati; Bacillota; Clostridia.